Molecule: long non-coding RNA, 685 nt
Organism: Panicum virgatum (switchgrass)
Lineage: Eukaryota; Viridiplantae; Streptophyta; Magnoliopsida; Poales; Poaceae
Exons: 3
Source: RefSeq, a predicted model, not a curated record
AUUAUGUGGUAGGAGACGCGGCACCGGCACCGUGCGAGGACGACUGCGAGAUACGGCAUACGCCGGUUGUAUGCAGGUUGGGAAGUCCAAGAUCAUAUCCCUGCUCCUUGAUAAGCGAACAAGAACCUCUGUUUCUCUUGCCACACUAGCAAGAUCCAUCAUGGUCGUCGUCCACCACAUCUGACAUGUUCAAGUGUUCAACCUUUUACUCGCCCCUUGGUUUGUCUUCAGCAUUAGCUCCUGCUGUGAAACAUGUGACGGCACACUAAAGAGCCACAAGCAUAUAUGGCUUCAGAGAUGUGGAUGACGUGUUCGAGGUAAUGCUCAACAGGUUGUAGUAAAGAUAGGCAUGAUGUAGUAAAGCUGCUUCCCUGCUCUGACUUCAUGCUCUUUUGCUCCAACCAUUAAUUUAAGACGUUAAUUCAGCAGUGUCACAUAACAAGUCGAUGAAUUCUCUUCAUCGCGUUUACAGUAGUGGUGGGUGCCUGCCCCCACUAUCUUGGAGUAGACCAAUCCUAGCACAGGCUGCACACAAGACAAGUCCACACCAAUCACUUUGUGAGAGGCCGAUUAGUUGCCUUAGGCCCUGAAUACACGGAUAAAUUAAGCAGGUUCUUCAGGUGAGCUCAGAGUUCCAUAGAGCAGAAUACAUUUUUUCCUAAACUAUUUCAAGACCAAAAAUACA